AACAAUUGGCCAAGCUUAUGUUCACAACAACAACUUUCAACAAGUUCAAGCUCAAGUUUAGAUCUAGACUCAAAGUGUUAGGCUCAAGUUUAGAUCUAGACUCAAAGUGUUAGUGGACAAGAAAACUAACACUAGAAACAACAAAACAAACAAGAACACUACUAGAUCUAGACAUACAACAAACAAAUAUCGGCCAAGACAUAACAAGAACACAAUUUUGGCCAAGAACACAAACACGGA
RNAcentral lists this long non-coding RNA (240 nucleotides) under Capsicum annuum. RNAcentral's name for it is "long non-coding RNA (CANN_LNC005656)". Lineage: Eukaryota; Viridiplantae; Streptophyta; Magnoliopsida; Solanales; Solanaceae. The record is from RNAcentral.